Panthera uncia (snow leopard) is the source of this 7438-nucleotide RNA transcript. It is a transcript of the gene named RIC8 guanine nucleotide exchange factor B, with no coding region annotated. NCBI's taxonomy places the organism in Eukaryota, Metazoa, Chordata, Mammalia, Carnivora, Felidae. The transcript is spliced from 11 exons. The record is from RefSeq and is a predicted model, not a curated record.
GCCCUGACCGGACCACAGCUCCCAGCAUGCCUUUGGCGGGAAGUCUUUUCCCGCUGGAUGACUACUAAUCCCGGCAUGCCAUUCGGUACUCCAGUAAAUUAGAUGGAAGAGUGGAAUGACCCCAAUGAGCGCAGGGAAUUGUAGUCCGUUUAGCUGCUGGCUUUUAGAGGGGCGGGGAAGAGCCGGGUCGCUCUCGUCAGCUGAGGAGAAUGAUUCAUAGAGGAGGGUCAGGAGAGAACAGUUCUGGCUGCGAAAGCCCACUUAAAAGGCUGGACUCUUCCGCGAGGGAGGGAGAGGCAGGAGAGUAAGCGAGGCCUCGGGCCUGACCUCGCCUCAGGCCGCUCGUCAGGCCUCCAUCGAGUCCUGGGCCUUGUCGGGGGCGGCCGCGAGGCGCCGGUUGCUGGGGGACCGGUGACGUCGCGGGGUGAAAGUUGAGGGGCGGUGACGUCGGCCCUGCCCGGGCGGAGGCUGGCGGGUUGGAGGCAGGAGGGAGGGAGGGAAGGAGGGAAGGAAGGAAGCUGGGAACGAGCGAGCGAGCGGGGGCGCGAGGCGUUUACCUGGAGGCAGCGGCUUGGGCGCGCUGAGCGGCCGCGGCUCCCCCGCACCUGCGGCCAUGGAUGAGGAGCGCGCCCUCUACAUCGUCCGGGCCGGCGAGGCGGGGGCUAUCGAGCGGGUCCUGAGGGAUUACAGCGAUAAGCAUAGGGCUACUUUCAAAUUUGAAUCAACAGAUGAAGAUAAAAGAAAGAAACUCUGUGAAGGUAUAUUUAAAGUCCUUGUAAAGGACAUCCCAACAACAUGUCAAGUGUCUUGCCUGGAAGUUCUCCGCAUUCUCUCCAGAGACAAAAAAGUUUUAGUUCCUGUAACAACCAAGGAAAAUAUGCAGAUACUGCUGCGACUAGCCAAGCUAAAUGAGUCGGAUGAUUCUUUGGAGAAGGUGUCCGAGUUCCCAGUUAUUGUGGAGUCAUUAAAAUGUCUGUGUAACAUAGUGUUCAACAGUCAAAUGGCACAGCAGCUCAGCCUGGAACUUAACCUUGCUGCAAAGCUCUGUAACCUCCUGAGAAAGUGCAAGGACCGAAAGUUUAUCAGUGACAUUAAAUGCUUUGACUUGCGCUUGCUCUUCCUCCUGUCACUUUUGCACACCGACAUCAGGUCACAAUUGCGCUAUGACCUUCAGGGACUAGCGCUGCUAACCCAGAUCUUGGAAAGUGCCUUUAGCAUCAAGUGGACCGAUGAGUAUGAAUCGGCCAUAGACCGUAAUGGACCUCCUCUCUCACCUCAGGAGACAGACUGUGCCAUCGAGGCCCUCAAAGCUCUCUUCAAUGUGACAGUAGACAGUUGGAAGGCACAUAAAGAGAGUGAUUCUCAUCAGUUCCGUGUCAUGGCAGCUGUCCUUCGCCAUUGUUUACUAAUCGUAGGUCCAACUGAAGACAAAACAGAAGAGCUGCACAGCAAUGCAGUCAACCUUUUAAGCAAUGUUCCGGUCUCUUGUUUGGAUGUUCUCAUUUGUCCAUUAACCCAUGAAGAAACAGCCCAAGAGGCAACGACUCUAGAUGAACUGCCCAAUGAUAAAACAGCUGAGAAAGAAACUGUUUUGAAAAACAAUACCAUGGUAUACAAUGGUAUGAAUAUGGAAGCCAUUCAUGUUUUACUCAAUUUUAUGGAGAAGAGAAUAGACAAGGGAAGCAGCUAUAGAGAAGGUCUAACUCCGGUUCUCAGCUUAUUAACAGAAUGUUCCCGAGCCCAUCGAAACAUCAGAAAAUUUCUCAAAGAUCAGGUUUUACCACCAUUGAGGGAUGUGACAAAUCGUCCUGAAGUUGGCUCAACUGUGAGAAAUAAGCUGGUGCGCCUCAUGACACAUGUUGACCUUGGAGUCAAGCAGAUUGCUGCUGAAUUCCUUUUUGUCCUUUGCAAAGAGAGAGUGGAUAGCCUGCUGAAAUACACUGGCUAUGGGAAUGCUGCAGGACUGUUGGCGGCCAGGGGCCUCUUGGCUGGAGGAAGAGGAGAUAAUUGGUACUCAGAGGACGAGGACACAGACACUGAAGAAUACAAAAAUGCAAAACCAAACAUUAAUCUUAUCACUGGUCAUUUAGAGGAACCAAUGCCAAACCCCAUAGAUGAAAUGACAGAAGAACAAAAAGAAUAUGAAGCCAUGAAACUUGUCAACAUGCUUGAUAAACUCUCCAGGAGAGCAGAUGUGAAGGACCCGCACCAGGAUGGUGGUUAGCAACAGUGGCCCGUGCCAAAGCACUUACCAAAGUGAUGAUUAAGGUUGGUCAUGCCAAGUACUGUUACUGAGCCUGGUGUAGGGUGUAGAUGUCAUCUACUACCAAAACUGUAAAACCACCGAUUCAAAAAUUAAAGUCACAUUUCCAUUUUGCCUCCAUGCUGGACAUAGUGACUGCCACAAGGAGCUCACCACCUUGGCAGCUUUAUCACAGCUACACUUCCAAGGACACUGGAGAGAUUCGUGUUCCAACACUUUCUUCCCGUUGAAUACCAGCUGACUUAGUAAUAUUCCUAGUGAUUUUGUGUGUGUGUGUGUGUGUGUGUGUGUGGAUUGUAUUUGUGACAGAUGUAGGUAAGGGGAUUGGCAGUGGACCUGGAGGUCUUAAGAGUUUGAAAAUAAUCUGAACCCUGUAAAUCCCAUCAUGGCUAGCUAGUACAGUGCCUUGUACCCUGUGGUUUCCCUAGUGUGUGAUGAGGAAAUAAUGAACACAGCUGAUCCCCAAAUCUGUUGGGCAGCUUUUGGCUCUAUAAAAUACCCUAUAUGGUUUAAGACUUUAAACUUUACCUUUGUCAGUUCCAUUUCUUGGCCAGAUAUAAUGACUAAUUUGAAUCUUGGGGUACAUAAUUUCUUUAAAAUAAUCAUUGUAAUAUGUAGCAAACAAACAUAAGCAUUAAGGCCUGAGGCAGGAGAUUAAAAAUGUCAAAUGAAGCUUUCUAUAAUGUGAGAGCAGAGCUGAAAAAGGGAAUGAAAUUUGCCUUCCUCUCCACCUGCUCUUUCCUUCUUUGAAUUGGAAAAAAAAAUAAGCCCCCACAACUUAAGUGGGGGAUUAGAAUGGGGACUGUGUGUGUGUAUACGCAAGUCCACUGUGGCUAAUACAAUUGCGUCCACCUUAGCUACAGCACACAGCUCGUGUGUAAUAAUGACGCCUCCUCCAGAAGAAGGGAGAGAGGAUUGACUGGCUUAAGCGUAAACGAACCAAAGGAAAUAAUAUUUCAAGUUUCAGUUUUGUUUUGAUUUUCUAAUCCCCUUUAGUUUCUUAAUUGGAAUCAGGCACUGAUUAGUCUUCUACCCCACCCUUACCCGGUCACAUUUAACAACAUUUAACAAUGUACAUUGAUUGCUUUUUUGCUUAUAUAUUUUAUCCAAAUCUAAAAUUUACAUUUAAAUAAUUUUCCCAUUUCUUAUCUAUUCCAUAUCAUAUAUAUAUUUUUUACAGCCAUUGUGUAGUAUUUGAGACAUGGCUUUCUUAAUUAAUGCAGGUUCCAAAUAUGGGAUUCUCUUUAGACUUACUAAAGCUGGGACGAGCAAUCAAUGACUGAAAAGCAAUACGUAACUUUAUUCCUUAUGAAUAAGUUACUCUACUCACAUAAAAAAAAAAACCUGUGAUCACAUCCACCUUUAUGAUAAGUUAGUUAAGGACGUGCUUUUCAGGUAUGGUUCAGAAACAUGUUGCAGUUUUUAAAGUGUUUUGAGAUCUACUGUAGGUUCAAAAGUGUAAAGAUUGUAAUUGUUUAUAUCGGAAAAUCUUUUAGAUCUGUGCUGUCCAAUACGGUAACCACCAGCCAUAUACUACUGAGAGCUUGAAGUGUGGUUAAUCUGAAUUGGGAUGUCCUAUAAGGGUUAAAUACUCAGACUUUCAAAAACUCAGUAUAAAAAGAGAAAUGUAAAAUAUCUCAAUUGUUUAAUAUGGAUUUUAUGUUGAAAUAUUUUUUAUAUACUGGGUUAACAAAAUAUAUUAAAGUCAAAGUCAGUUUUACUUAUCUUUUUCAGUGUGGUUACUAGAAUAUUUUAAGAUUCCAUAUAUGGCUUAUGUUAUAUUCACAUAUGGCAACACUAUUCUGAUAUCAUUAAAAUACACUGUAAGGUUGCCUGGAAGUUCAAUUAAGGGAACUUGGAUCCAGUUAAGUUAAUAUGCCCUUAAAGUGGCAAGGGAGGAUUAAUUUGAGAAAGUUAGUAUUGUGUAUCUUUAGGUUAUAGAGGGCCUUCACUGGCUAGACACCUCUGAGUAGGAUGUCAUGCUCCCUUUGUAUUGCCUGUUGGUAGUCACUGUCCUUUAAGCUCUGUAGAAGGAAUGAUUACUUUGAGCUCUUAGUUUAAGCACUAGCUGAAAUGGCUUCUAAUAGAGAAACCUCAAAUAAGAAUAAUGUCCCCUGGCUGUUUGUGCUGUUAGCUACCCUCCUUCAACUUUUAAGUCUUUCUGAUUGGGGACAGCAUGUAAGAAUUUCAAUUUCUGCUGCUAUAUUCAACAGUGUCAGUUGGCACGCUGACCUCUUAUUUAUUUUACUAAUUUGGACAACAGGAUAGAAAACUCCUGUGGAGAAAUUACCAAGAAAUAAGAAUGCCUUCACUUAAGGAUAAAACUGAAUUUGAUUCUUUAGCACUGUCCCUAACCUUUCUCCAUAUUUUUUUAACCAUGCUGUUUAAUGUGAGGUAGGUAACAAAUUUUUAGAAGCUUUGCAUGAUUUUCUAACAGAAAUGAGAAUAGUAAAAGACUAAUAUUUAUAUAGUCUUUAAAGUUUAAAGAGUGUUUCCAUUUAUAUUAUCUCCACUGAUCAUUAAAGCAUCCCUGUGAAUUAUUAGGGCAAGUAGUGUUUGAAGAACAAACAGAACCAAUGAUUAGGAGACUGACCCAAGAUCAGGCAUCUGGUUGAUGACAUAGCCAGGACUCGAUUCUCAGUCUUAACACUCCAGAUCUUAUGUCAUUUUGAAAAAUGACCAACAGCUCUCAAAAAUGUGUCCAUCUGGUUUUAAAUAAGAUGUCCUAAAUUUUAAAAAAAUGCAAAGUGCAAAGAUUGUAAGCAUAUUUACCUGAGAAUUAAGAUUUGGAAGACCCACAUUCCUGCUCUUUCAUUCUGUAGUUGAGAUCUUCUCGAAGAUCAAGUGAGGUGCUAAAGUAAAUAGUUUAUAUCAAACACACACACACACCUUUAUAAGAAGGAAACCAGUGAAACUGCUAUGACUCUUUGUUAAUAGAAGUUUUUUUAUUUUAAAAAGAGAAUGAUUAUAGGUAUUCUAACAAAUUCUUAUAUUUAAUGCAACCACAUUAAGAAAAUCUAACUUUUGAAAGGCUUCCCAAUGGGACUGUUUAGGCAACUCCCAAUUACCUUUACAAACAGAAAGAAAUCCAAAAUAGAUGAUAUGCUGUGUCCAUUUGUCAUGGAAAUGAUAUUUUUUAUGCUACAUAUUCACCUUCCUAAUUGUACCCAGUCCCAAAGCACAAUGGUGAGGUCUCAGGGAAGAUCCCAGAAUUGUUUUAAAAGAUACAGCCUGAAGACUUUGAGUUUGCUGUGGAAAAGCCACCAUACCCCUCCAAAAAUCCUGGGGUAGCAGCUUAGUGAAAAAUCGGUGUACCCAGUCAGGACUAGGAAGUCAUUAGAUGAAAGACCAUGAAAGAUGAAGGAUCAGGGUCCAAGCCCAAAGGACAUUUUUUCCCAGUAUGUAACUGAACAUGUUAAGCAAUGGCCAAGGUUAUAAUAUUAUUCCUAUGAGAAAAAGGGGUUAUAAACACUUGUAAGCAUAUCAACAAGUUACUAGGCAGUCCGUUGAACUUUGGUGGAGUAUGGACCAUUGCAGUGAUGCUGAAAUCUUGAAAUAAGAUGCACUCUCAGACUUGGGAUUAGAGCACAGAUCACAGAGCUGCUUUCUCCCAGCUAGCACAGGCUCCACACUAGCAGGCAUCUCUUGAAAAGCUCUGUGUUCAUUAAAAAUGUUUUAUGUAUUUACCAGUUUCUCACCCUUUCAAAUGUGAAAAGGAAUUAAAUAUGAAAUGGCUAAUUUAAAAAGUCAGCGUUCUUUUUUUCCAAGCAAACCUUACAUUAAGAGCAGGAAUCCCUGUGCCAAAGAAAUGGUUCCCAAUUAUCCCGUCUUGGGUUUUGUUAUACAUUGUACAGAAGUCAACAAAACGAGUAUGUAACAGAACCUGCCUAAAUAGCAGCCACCCUCAUUAGAAACAGGGAAUUAAUCAGAGGGCGAUUGAAGGAAGCAGUGCCUCACAGGUUUCCCCCUUUUCUUCUUUUCUAAUCAUAGAACAAAAUAUAUGACAUAAAAGGAUCGGAACUAUUAUGCAGUACUCAAUUAGAGGGAGGUGAAUAGGUCUCUAACAUGCUGUUUUAUCAAAAGAGCAGACUGGUGUUUGCAUGACUGUUGUUUCAUUACAGACCCUGUCAUUAAUUCCAUGUGUCAAUACUGCCCUGUAGUACACAGAGCAGACAAGAAAGAAGAGCCCUUGAAAACAAGGGAAUGAUUUUUGAGUCGUUAUCAAGCUAAGUGGCAAGCGGGAAGCUGAAACUCGUAUAGGUAAAUUCGAAGGGACUCUUGGGAGAUCUGCAAGUGGGAAACAAGAAUGCAUUUUACCAACUGCUUAAUUAUGUCCUGUUUUUCAACAAGUACACUUGAAUUGAAUGCUUUGUUUGUAUUGCACAAAAACAUGUGCUGUGGGCAAGAGUAUUCUCUUGCUUCCAGGUCAAGUAAGGUGUUUUAUACACAUAUACAUCUGGCCUAUUCUAUAAUGUGCGAUUGGGUAUGUUAGUGUCUGAGCCCCAAUUUUGCACUGUCAUUUCUGGGGGAAAGUCUUACAUAGGAACCAGAAGCCCUAAAAAGUAGAACCUUGUCUAAGGUUCUGAGAAGUUACAGAAACCCAGGCAUCCCAGAGGACCAUCCUUACAGGGAAAUGGUGGCUCAGGAAAAUGUUAAAAUAUAUCUGGGGGAAAAAAAAACAGACCAGAAAUUUUUAAAUAUGGUAUAAAUCCCAUAAUCUCCCACCCCUAAAUCUUUAAGAAAGUAUUUUUUGGUUUCCAUUAGCAGUUCCAAGGGUUAGGCUGGGGCAAAGUAGGGUUUCUUUUCUUGGACCUGCUUUAUCUAUGUCCUUGUGCCUGGCCAAGCCCUUAUAGAUUAUGGUUCCUUAUCGUUUAGUAAGAUCAAAUUUCUAAAUGAUGUUUCGUUCCAGUUGAACAUUCUUGGAGGCUUAUCUCUUCCCUGGCCAGAUGCCUGAUCAGAUGAGAAGCCCGCCAUGAUACUGUCACAGUGCCUAGAAUGGGCUCUUUAUCCAGUAGACAUCACUGUACUUUUUGAUGAUAACGAGGGCAGUCUUAACUUAUGUUAAGGCCUGUGUAUAGCAUUGAAGAGAGGAGUUGCUUAAACCAAUGGGACUAAAACCUGAUGGGACAAUAACGCCUUUGGAGGAAGCACUCAACCAGUACUCUGUCAUCGAAG